This 946-nucleotide long non-coding RNA is filed under the name Dasypus novemcinctus (nine-banded armadillo). Its description in RNAcentral is "lncRNA (ENSDNOG00000050913.1)". Lineage: Eukaryota; Metazoa; Chordata; Mammalia; Cingulata; Dasypodidae. The record is from RNAcentral.
UUCCACCCAAUACACUCAUAAACCACAAUGGACCUACAUUCCUGGCCUCCAGUCAGUUUCCGGAUCUUUCUUUGCCCAGAGCCAAGAUACUGAAACAGGGAUUUAUUAAAAUUAACAUAUCUGCAAUUCCGGUCCUUGGCUGGAAAGCAUUUAAUGUAUGGACUUGGUUCUGAGAUCUUUUCCCAGGUGAAAACCCCUACCGUUGGGGCUGAAAUCUUUGGCACUUUCUGCCCAAGAUGCCCGCAUCGGGAUUCAAGUAAGCCCGCAUAGGCACUCUCAACCCUCCUCAUCUCAGCGACACACUCGCGAGGCCAGCGCCAGAACCCUCGAGGCGCUGAAACUGGCAAAAGCGUCGUCUAGAGGUGAACGGCGUGCACAACACAGCCCUUUCGAAUGAAAUGUCAUUGGGUGUCCCUUUGUCACCCCUGGGUGGCUGAGAUCAAACUCCGCAAAGUUGUUGUCUGAGGAAUAAAUUUUGUUCGUUGUUGUAAAAAUUAAAUGAGGAAUGCUCUGAGAUACGGAAAAGAGUUUAUUUUCCUGGUGGUUGGCAAGUGGGGGUGUGUGUGUGUGAAAUCCAAUUGGGCCCCGUAUAUGGUUUGCUGGAACGCAACACGGGCGUGAAAUGAGAAGGCAAGACGCCUGCCCGAAGCUGCUGCUUCCUUUGUCCUCCAGCCAGGGCUGUGGGGGGACCCGGGUAGCGCGGACCUGAGGUGGCGGGGUGGGGUGGCCGCGGCGCCCCUGAGGCGAAAGCGGAGGCGCCCGACGCCAGGACGCCGCUCCGAGCCUCUCAAGAUAUUCUCAAGGAGCUGGAGAUGGUGAAUCUGAAUAUCUCAUCUUUGGGGACCAGAACAACUGAUAAAGAGUUCUGCAGAAUUUGUGAAAACUGGAUGAGGGUCCUUUCUAGAGACACCUCCAGAGAGAAAAGGCACGUGAAAAUAGAGAAGGA